GGGGACAGUAGUGCGUUAAACACACAUGCCAUUGCCCAUCGAAAUGAGCAAAAACACUUCGGUAUAUUAAAGGCAUCCAGCAAUAUAACGACACUUCAGACAGCGAUUGCGUCACAAAAAAAAGCAGUGACCCGAGUUAAUUACGUCGGAAAUGCCCUGACACUAAUGAGUCCCAAAGUUCAUUCACUAACGGUCAACGAAGUCGUCAAAACAGACGGGGGCCAAAGCUCUUUUGGUCGGGCGGGCUUCGAACGAAGAAGAAGAAGGCAGGUCGGUGGUCACUGGUCAGUUCUCGGAAACGCGGAUCGCACGGUCGCAUUCCAAGCCGUGGAAUGCGGCCGCCGCUGCAUGGACUGAAAGAAACCGACAACACGCCACUGAAGUACAGGGACAGGAACAACAACAACAAGUAACAAACUAAUAAAACAAUCAAUGUUUUCUAAUCGAGCGAGGAAGGCCCCGAUAGCCAACGGGAAAAAUAGCGGGAUGUUGGUAAAACAACUCCAGAGAAACUUUAAGAAAUAUAAAGAAAUCUGUUUACAAGAAUGUUUGCAUCUCUGCAAGUUUUUAAUGUUCACAAGAAUGUUUGCAUCUCAUAUCAGGGCUCGAUGUUAAAAGGAAGUUUUCUGGUAAAUAAAACGGCAAGGAUUAAGCAAAUUACAAGAAACGUAAACAAAAAAACUACAAGAACAUUUAAAAUAUCUGUAUCGCGAAAACCAAUCGAUUACGGAUGUAAACAGUUUUUGUACGAUUGUUGGUCGUAGGAAAUGCAACCUAAUUUUGGCUCACCCUGUCUGCAGGCAGCAGAAAACAACCUAGAAACUAAAGGUAGAAUUUCACACAAAUUGAUAGACGAACGGAAUUCCUCCAGUUUAUUUAUUCCCCCAGUGAGUGAGUGAGUCCCAGAAGUAAUGUCGACAUUCAGCUGUGGAAAAAUGUAAAAUUGAAUUAAAAAGCAGGUGCUUUCAUUUGAAAAAAUAAAGUUGUUGGUCGUAACGUCUUUUCGGACCACCAUGUACAAAUAAAUUUGGUAUCAAAAAUUGCA
Long non-coding RNA from Dendroctonus ponderosae (mountain pine beetle), 1045 nucleotides. RefSeq lists it as uncharacterized. The transcript has 2 exons. The record is from RefSeq and is a predicted model, not a curated record. NCBI's taxonomy places the organism in Eukaryota, Metazoa, Arthropoda, Insecta, Coleoptera, Curculionidae.